RNAcentral lists this RNase P RNA (350 nucleotides) under Eubacterium sp. RNAcentral describes it as "RNase P RNA component class A". It matches the Rfam family "Bacterial RNase P class A". Rfam says of the family: Ribonuclease P (RNase P) is a ubiquitous endoribonuclease, found in archaea, bacteria and eukarya as well as chloroplasts and mitochondria. Its best characterised activity is the generation of mature 5'-ends of tRNAs by cleaving the 5'-leader elements of precursor-tRNAs. RNAcentral also lists the same sequence under 1 other name. Lineage: Bacteria; Bacillati; Bacillota; Clostridia; Eubacteriales; Eubacteriaceae. The record is from RNAcentral.
UAAGUAGAGUAUGCGAUCGCGGCCGGCAGGACCGAAAGGGGCCGGCUGAGGAAAGUCCGGGCUUCACAGAGCAGAAUGCCGGAUAACGUCCGGCGGAGGUGACUCCAGGGACAGUGCAACAGAAAUAAACCGCCGCUUUUUGCGGUAAGGAUGGAAAGGCAGUGUAAGAGACUACCGACACCCUGGUAACAGGGUGUGCCAUGUAAACCCCAUUCGAAGCAAGACCGAAUUGUAAAGCUAUGUGGCUGCUCGUCACGCUUUCAGGUGGGUCGCUUGAACUUCCCGGCGACGGGAAGGCACAGAUAGAUGAUCGCACACGACAUAACCCGGCUUACAGCUCUGCUUAUGCA